AUAGCUAGCAAAGGGGAGUAACUUCUUUAGCCGGUCUAUGGUCAUUACGGUGUUAUGCACCCGGUAACUGGGCAUCACAGGUGGAUAUCAAAGUAGUUUUUGUGUUGUAAGUGAGACCUUGCCAGCGGG
This 129-nucleotide unclassified non-coding RNA is filed under the name Arsenophonus endosymbiont of Bemisia tabaci Q2. Its description in RNAcentral is "yybP-ykoY". Lineage: Bacteria; Pseudomonadati; Pseudomonadota; Gammaproteobacteria; Enterobacterales; Morganellaceae. The record is from RNAcentral.